CCUACGGGAUGCAGCAGUGAGGAAUAUUGGUCAAUGGACGAGAGUCUGAACCAGCCAAGUAGCGUGAAGGAUGACUGCCCUAUGGGUUGUAAACUUCUUUUAUAAAGGAAUAAAACGAGGCACGUGUGCCUUUUUGCAUGUACUUUAUGAAUAAGGAUCGGCUAACUCCGUGCCAGCAGCCGCGGUAAUACGGAUGAUCCGAGCGUUAUCCGGCUUUAUUGGGGUUAAAGGGAGCGUAGAUGAGUUGUUAAGUAAGUUGUGAAAGUUUGCGGCGCAACCGUAAAAUUGCAAUUGAUACUGGCAGUCGUGAGUACAGUUGAGGUAGGCGGAAUUCGUGGUGUAGCGGUGAAAUGCUUAGAUAUCACGAAGAACCCCGAUUGCGAAGGCAGCUUACUAAACUGUGACUGACAUUGAUGCUCGAAAGUGUGGGUAUCAAACAGGAUUAGAUACCCGAGUAGUC
This 460-nucleotide ribosomal RNA is filed under the name uncultured bacterium. Its description in RNAcentral is "partial 16S ribosomal RNA". It matches the Rfam family "Bacterial small subunit ribosomal RNA", at positions 338 to 795 of the family's 1533-position model. The record is from RNAcentral.